AUUGAACGCUGGCGGCAGGCCUAACACAUGCAAGUCGCGCGAGCGGCGGACGGGCGAGUAAUGUAUGGGGACUGCCCGAUAGAGGGGGAUCACUACUGGAAACGGUAGCUAAUACCCCAUACUAUCGGAUAACCCAUAUGGGAUUGGCUAGUGGGUUAGGUAAUGGCUCACCUAGGCGACGAUCCCUAGCUGGUCCGCUAGGAUGAUCAGCCACCCUGGGACUGAGACACGGCCCAGACGCCUACGGAGGCAGCAGUGGGGAAUAUUGCACAAUGGGCGCAAGCCUGGUACAGCCAUGCCGCGUGUAUGAAGAAGGCCCUAGGGUUGUAAAGUACUUUCAGUCGGGAGGCGUUACCGACAGAAGAAGCACCGGCUAACUCCGUGCCAGCAGCCGCGGUAAUAC
This 403-nucleotide ribosomal RNA is filed under the name uncultured bacterium. RNAcentral's name for it is "partial 16S ribosomal RNA". It matches the Rfam family "Bacterial small subunit ribosomal RNA", at positions 30 to 526 of the family's 1533-position model. The record is from RNAcentral.